Phyllostomus discolor (pale spear-nosed bat) is the source of this 144-nucleotide long non-coding RNA. RefSeq lists it as uncharacterized. The transcript has 3 exons. Lineage: Eukaryota; Metazoa; Chordata; Mammalia; Chiroptera; Phyllostomidae. The record is from RefSeq and is a predicted model, not a curated record.
CGGCCACCACCGCUGCCAGGGAGCCAGGAAGGCUGCCUGUCCUCACCAGUGCCCCUCACAGGCGCCUGCAGCUGACCCAGCGUGUCCUUGGACGCCCCGCACGGGGACCGAGUGGCCAGGCCACCGGCGUCCGCAGGGCCUGGC